CGUAAAUGUGCGCCUUUUUUCAAUGCUGAUUUGAAGGUCAUUGAGAAAACUAGAGAAAUGUCGAAGUUUUUUCCCCGCAAACAUCCUUUCUGAAUUUAAAAGUAAUCCUCGAUGUAAUCAUCUAGUUUUUUAAAAGUAUCUGUAAUCUGAUUACAAUAUUUUAGCUGGUAACGGAUUACAGUUGCCGUUUUUUGUAAUCUCAGUGCAAGAGGUGUCACGACAGACCCUGGUUCAAUUCCAGGCUGUUUCACAACCGGCCGUGAUUGGGAGUCCCAUAGGGCAGCGCACAAUUGGCCCAACGUCGUCCGGGUUUGGCUGGGGCAAUCACAAGGAAAGGAUGGCCAGCCACACAGGAGGGUGAUUUUCACUACAGAGGAGGAGGCCGUGCUGACGGAGAUCAAUGCUGGCCAUUUCGGAGUGAAGCGCAUCAUUGGCAAAAUAAACCUUCUUCUGGAGUGGGAUUGUCAAGGAUGUGGACAGCUGGGCAAGUGAAAUAACCUUUUGUUUAUCAAUCACAUUCUAUUAUAUCUGAAAAUGACUAUCAUAUCAGAGAACACACAAUGUUUCAAUGUGCCACGUUGUGCCUAAAGGUCAGUACCCUGUCUAGUCUGCCAGAAGUUUGAGAGGGUGAUGACUGUGGCGCCAGAGUUAAAGCCCAUCACUUGUUUCACCGUGGCACAUGAUUGGUCAGCCCAUCAGUUAUUUCACCGUGGCACAUGAUCGGUCAGCCCAUCAGUUAUUUCACCGUGGCACAUGAUCGGUCAGCCCAUCAGUUGUUUCACCGUGGCAUAUGAUCAGUGCAGUGAUCUGUGAGCUGCUUGUAUGAUAUCCAUCAAGGACGAGACUGGCGAGGACACCUCCAAGGCGAUGAUGGACAUCUUCAAAACCCACGGUUCUCCUGAGGUCAUCUUGAGUCACCGAGGUCGUGAACUCUGGAACAAGGUUUGGAUGAACUGACCAACCAGACCCUCAAGACUACCAUGGGCAAGUCCCUUGACGAGUACCAGGAACGGUGGGAGAACAACCUGAAGGUAAUUCUCUUUGAACACAACAGCAGCAUCCAGGAUUCCACCGAGUACUCGCCCUAUCGCCUGCUGUACGGACGUGAGCCGUAGCUGUUAGUGAGAUCACUGAAAUUCCACCUGAUGUGAUGGAGGUUGUUGAACCAGAUCAGAAUUCCUUCCAGGACCACGUUCAGGCACGGCUGAGAAGAAUGUGGAGGUUUUUGACCAGGUGAGACUGAACAUGGACAAGGCACAGGAGAAACAAAAGGAGAGCUACUGGAGGAGAAUCAAAAAGGGAACCAAGUGCUCGACAUCGAAUGACUUGGCUUGCAAGAAGGUCGAAAGGAAGACGAGACCUGGGAAACCUCUGCUCUUUCGCUCCUAGCUAGGGGUUACCUCGGUGGAAGCCAACAAUCUUCUACAGUUGGAACAGUUGGACGGUCAACCACUGAAAGCUCUGUCGCCCUACGCUUCGGUGAAGCCCAAUAGACAAAGACCAUCGACUGUCCGAGCCACCCAGGAUGGGUCCACCAGAGCCAGUGAUUUUGGAACAGUCUGACUUUCUGUGCUCUGAGUCUGAGGGGGACCAGCUUAACUUCAAAAAACAGUUGAAAAGACCUAGGAGUUCUGCCGAACACCCAGACGUGGAUCUACCUAAUGUCCUCCAUUACCAACCACCCUCCAACAAUUACAUAAUCUACAGCUACUGUUACUGUUAUGUUGUCAUUAUCUGUGAAUAAAGUUUUCUUGCUCUAUCAUACUGGGUACAUAAAAUGUGAGAUACACAGGUGAACUAAAAACACUUGCACUGCAAACACUCAGAACAAAGAGAGCAUCAGUGCGUGAACUUUGCAGUCUCCCUCUUCAAGUCCCUCUUCCGGCUGCCUGUUGAAUGGCAGAACCUCCCACCCACACAGCACCC
RNAcentral lists this long non-coding RNA (1926 nucleotides) under Salmo salar (Atlantic salmon). RNAcentral describes it as "lncRNA (ENSSSAG00000121099.1, ENSSSAG00020075645.1)". The record is from RNAcentral. Lineage: Eukaryota; Metazoa; Chordata; Actinopteri; Salmoniformes; Salmonidae.